This 513-nucleotide ribosomal RNA is filed under the name uncultured Pseudomonadota bacterium. RNAcentral describes it as "bacterial SSU rRNA". It matches the Rfam family "Bacterial small subunit ribosomal RNA", at positions 390 to 896 of the family's 1533-position model. The record is from RNAcentral. Lineage: Bacteria; Pseudomonadati; Pseudomonadota.
CGCAAUGCCGCGUGUGUGAAGAAGGCCUUCGGGUUGUAAAGCACUUUCGGUGGGGACAAACAAGGCAGAGCUAACAUCUCCGUCCCUGAUGGUACCCAAAGAAGAAGCACCGGCUAACUCUGUGCCAGCAGCCGCGGUAAUACAGAGGGUGCAAGCGUUAAUCGGAAUUACUGGGCGUAAAGCGUGCGUAGGUGGUUUGUUAAGUCAGGUGUGAAAUCCUCGGGCUCAACCCGGGAACUGCGCUUGAUACUGACAGACUCGAGUGUGGUAGAGGAUAGUGGAAUUCCCGGUGUAGCGGUGAAAUGCGUAGAUAUCGGGAGGAACAUCAGUGGCGAAGGCGGCUAUCUGGACCAACACUGACACUGAGGUACGAAAGCGUGGGUAGCAAACAGGAUUAGAUACCCUGGUAGUCCACGCCCUAAACGAUGGGUACUAGACGUCGGGAAGCUUGUCUUCUUGGUGUCGCAGCUAACGCAAUAAGUACCCCGCCUGGGGAGUACGGUCGCAAGAUUA